Long non-coding RNA from Agrilus planipennis (emerald ash borer), 2140 nucleotides. RefSeq lists it as uncharacterized. Lineage: Eukaryota; Metazoa; Arthropoda; Insecta; Coleoptera; Buprestidae. The record is from RefSeq and is a predicted model, not a curated record. The transcript is spliced from 3 exons.
UCAUAUUUAAGUUAUUUAACUUAACUACCCCCUACCCGCUACAAGUUCCCGUCCCGAAUUUGAAAUAAAAAAAUAUGGUCGCCUUGCAAGUAGGGAAAUUAGAGAAUUGGAACCGCUAUAUCAUCUACAAAUCUUGUAUAUCUGACCCUAAUGUUGUUCUGUUUUUAUGUUUAUCGCAUCUUGGAUAUGUAGAUUAAAAAGUAGCGGUGACAAUCCCGUAGGAAAAAUUUCAAUUGAACUUCAAUGAGAAGCAAUGGAAAAUUUGUAAAUUCCAUUCAAAACCAUUUGCCAUAAAUGGAAAAAUAAUUGUUUCCACUUACAAUAAUUCGAUGUGCAUUCUUGUCUGACUUCCUUUCUUGUAUUCACUUUUCUAUGCUGGUCAUUAGGAUUAUACAUUCUAAGUUUAGAUCACGUGAUUUUGUCUUUUAGUAAAGUUUAACUUUGGUCACAAGGGUUGUUUCCUGGUUACCUUACGCUAUGUUCGGAUGCUUUGAAAAGUUUUUUAAGGUUUAAUAAAUAAUUUAUUAGAAACAAUUUUGCAGAAAAAAGUCCCUUGUGGUUGAUUAAUUAUUUCAACGUUUAAUUAGUAAUUAGCUAGGUAAGAUAAAUAAAAAAGAAGAAUUGUGUGUAUAUUUCGUAAAUAGUAAAUUUUUACAACUUCUUCUGAACACACUGUAUAACUUUUGUGCAUAUUAAUGACAGGCUUGUUAAGUAUGAUUUUUUAAAAAGUUGCAUUCACUUUUACUGUAAAGCAAAGGCUUUUAUUUUAUAGAAUUAAAAGAUCUGAUGAUUUGAAAGAAUCCAGCGUCAUAAAUAAUGUCAUUUUUUUAGUUUAUUUCCGUUAACCUAAUAUGUAUUCAAAUUCUAAUCACUUAUGGAGCUCUCUAAAUGAACGUGGAAGCAAGUUUUCAGUUUUAAUAUGGAAAAAUUUCACAUUACAAAGACGAAAUCUUCUUCAAACCAUUUUUCAAAUUAUAAUUCCAGUUUUAUUUUGUUUGGUACUUAUUGUACUGAGAGGGAUAAUUAAAAUGAAUUAUAAUCCUGAAGGAAGAAACUACACUUCAUUUCCGAUUGAAAUAAAUGGCAAUUAUUCAGUAUUGGUUCAUUCCCCGAUAAAUCCUGAGAUUGAUAAAAUAAUGAAUGAGGUUGCAAACAGAUUGGGACUGUCAAGUAUUCCUUUUAAAACGGCAACAGAAAUGCAGAGAUUUUUACAAAGUUGGGAAAGUCCCGAACUUGUUUUUGCAGCAGUUGAAUUUGAUGAUAGUUUAUCUGGUACCGACAGUAUUCCUGAACAAGUUACCAUAACUUUAAGAUUUCCAUCAUCUCUUCGAAAAUCUGGUGGGAUUGGCGAGGAACUUAUAUGGCAUACUUGGCAAACAACAAGACUGUUUCCCUUAGAAAUAUAUCCUGGUCCACGAAAUAGUGACUAUGGAUUUGGAGGUCCACCAGGUAGUAAAAUCAUCGUUUGUUAUUUAAAUAAAAUAUUCGAUUUAAAACCUUGUACGGUGUACCACGCACAAUAUUCAUUGGUAUAAUUAGUAUACAGAAGUAAAGAUAUGUUGCUUCCAAAAAUUGAUGCAAUUCCUUCAAGGUAUAUGCAUAAGAAAAGCGAAGGAAAAGGUUUUGAUUCGAAGGUUUGCUUUAAGGUAAAAGGUUUUACAUAAUUUGUAUUUAUAAGAAGAACCAUCUGCUCAAAAACUAAAGGAUUUGCUUCUAAAAAGAGGAAUCUAGGUUCACAACAACUUUUCUCGCUCUUUUCAACUUUUCAGUAGCUGCUCAGGCAUCACACAGCUUGAAACGUAAACAUUUAUGUAUUUGUAGGACUGUUUUGUGUUAAAAUCUAUCUAGAAGGACUUUAAUCCGAAGCAUUUCUUUGCAAGGAAAACGUAUAGAUUAUGGAUACGAAUUGUAGCAAAAGCUUUUACUUUUACCUUUUGCUUCUACCUUUUACUUGAAAGUAAAUUAUUAUUCUUAACUAAUAAUAAUGGGUGGAUUUUUAAAGCAAAGUAAAAAUAAUCAUGCCGUAACUUGAAAACAAAAAUUAAUAAAUUAGUAUUCUUUAUUUAAAUGGUUCUAAAGUCCCUCCAAUAAAAGUAUAUUUAAAUAAAUUGAUUUUAUAAACUCCCCCCCCCCUUGUUCU